This 432-nucleotide ribosomal RNA is filed under the name uncultured bacterium. RNAcentral's name for it is "bacterial SSU rRNA". It matches the Rfam family "Bacterial small subunit ribosomal RNA", at positions 1 to 434 of the family's 1533-position model. The record is from RNAcentral.
UAUUAGAGUUUGAUCAUGGCUCAGAUUGAUACGCUGGCGGCAGGCCUAACACAUGCAAGUCGAGCGGAUGAUGGGAGCUUGCUCCCGGAUUCAGCGGCGGACGGGUGAGUAAUGCCUAGGAAUCUGCCUGGUAGUGGGGGACAACGUUUCGAAAGGAACGCUAAUACCGCAUACGUCCUACGGGAGAAAGCAGGGGACCUUCGGGCCUUGCGCUAUCAGAUAGAGCCUAGGUCGGAUUAGCUAGUUGGUGGGGUAAAGGCCUACCAAGGCGACGAUCCGUAACUGGUCUGAGAGGAUGAUCAGUCACACUGGAACUGAGACACGGUCCAGACUCCUACGGGAGGCAGCAGUAGGGGAAUAUUGGACAAUGGGCGAAAGCCUGAUCCAGCCAUGCCGCGUGUGUGAACGAAGGUCUUCGGAUUGUAAAGCACU